Grus americana (Whooping crane) is the source of this 788-nucleotide long non-coding RNA. RefSeq lists it as uncharacterized. The record is from RefSeq and is a predicted model, not a curated record. Lineage: Eukaryota; Metazoa; Chordata; Aves; Gruiformes; Gruidae. The transcript is spliced from 4 exons.
CAGGGACGAGGCGCCGGCUAUGGCGGCCGAACGGGCGGUGGGGGAGCGGCGGCCGCCAUUUUGUGUGUGUGGAGGCCGGCUCCGGGCGUCGCUGCUCCGCCGCGGAGGCGGGGGUGCGCGGCGAGGCGAGGCCGAUGGACGCAGAGCUGUCAGCUUUUCGGCGAUGACCUUUUUUUUUUUUUUUAACCAAAUGCCGCUUACCUCACGACACGAGAAUCACCAGGAUAUCCCCAACAGCCGCAUUAAGUGUAUCCUCAAAACGUACAGCUAAUGAAAUGAAACGUAAUUAGUGCAAGUUAACGCUGUUGUCCUGCCUGUGACUUACUGUCAGCGAUGUGUCCUGGCUUUAUAAAACCUGGAACAUCAUCAGCCGGGUUUAACGAACUUCAGGACUUAAUUGCCAUGCCGCCAGCAGCGUUCUGAGGGAAAUGGUCUGGCCUUCCACCGCUUCGCCCCUGCUUUGGAGAAGACCGGCCGUAACUCCAGUUGAGCUGCAGUCGAGCUCAUUUCUUCUGGGCCGGCUCCCAGCCCGGCUCCCGAGCUCUCCCUGAGCCCGGCAGAUGAGCUCCCUGUCCGUUACUGAUCCACUCGGAGGUUUCAAAGGUCCCCGAACGCCGUUGGUCCGUGUCUGCCAGGAGUUUCGGGAGCUGGAAGGAGCCUUCCCAAAGUGAUGUGCUGUUCUCAACCGCCCCCUGAAGCAGGGCCGGGGGUAACCUAGUUCGUAAGAAGACUCGUCUUCAUUAAAACAGAGAAUGGAAUAAAUAGGAGGAGUUGGCGGAGUCAAAGCA